GGCGAGCGAAGCGGUAAAAGCUCAAAUUUAAAAUCUGGCUCCUUUGGAGUCCGAGUUGUAAUUUAUAGAGGAUGCUUCGGGCGUGGCCGCGGUUCAAGUCCCCCUGGAACGAGGCAUCACAGAGGGUGAAAAUCCCGUAUUUGACCGGUUGGCCUUGCCCAUGUGAAGCUCUUUUGACGAGUCGAGUUGUUUGGGAAUGCAGCUCUAAAUGGGUGGUAAAUUUCAUCUAAAGCUAAAUACUAGUCGGAGACCGAUAGCGCACAAGUAGAGUGAUCGAAAGAUGAAAAGCACUUUGGAAAGAGAGUUAAACAGCAUGUGAAAUUGUUGAAAGGGAAGCGCUUGCGAUCAGAAUCGGCCGCGGGGGCUCAGCCGGCACUCAUUGUCGGUGCACUCCCUCGAGGUCGUGCCAGCGUCGGUUUCGACGGCCGGUCAAAGAUCCCUGAAAUGUGUCGCCUCUUGGGGCGUCUUAUAGUUGGGGGUGCAAUGCGGUUAGUCGAGACCGAGGAACGCGUUCCGGCA
Molecule: ribosomal RNA, 519 nt
Filed under: Paracoccidioides lobogeorgii
Lineage: Eukaryota; Fungi; Ascomycota; Eurotiomycetes; Onygenales; Ajellomycetaceae
Description: Lacazia loboi partial large subunit ribosomal RNA
Rfam family: Eukaryotic large subunit ribosomal RNA
Source: RNAcentral